RNAcentral lists this long non-coding RNA (800 nucleotides) under Homo sapiens (human). Its description in RNAcentral is "HSALNT0034939". Lineage: Eukaryota; Metazoa; Chordata; Mammalia; Primates; Hominidae. The record is from RNAcentral.
CAGCACUUUGGGAGGCCGAGGCAGGUGGAUCACGAGGUCAGGAGUUCAAGAUCAGCCUGGCCAAGAUGGUGAAACCCCAUCUCUACUAAAAAUACAAAAAUUAGCCUGAUGUGGUGGCACGCGCCUGUAAUCCCAGCUACUUGGGAGGCUGAGGCAGAGAACUGCUUGAACCUGGGAGCAUUCCAGCCUGGAUGACAGAGUGAGACUCCGUCUCAAAAAAAAAAAAAAAAUUAGCUGGGCGUGGUGGCAUCCGCCUUUGGUCCCAAAUACUCAGGAGGCUGAGCCUCCCAAGUAGCUGGGAUUACAGGUGCAUACCACCACGCCCGGCUAAUUUUUUGUAUUUUAAGUAGAGGCGGGGUUUCACCAUGUUGGCCAGGCUGGUCUCGAACUCCUGACCUCAAGUGAUCUACCCGCCUCGGCCACCCAAAGUGCUGGGAUUACAGGCGUGAGCCUCCGCACCCAGCCAAAGGGUGGUUUUUACUUCUAUAUAAAUUAUACUUCAGUAAACCUGAAUUAAGAUAAGGAAAGCAAGCUCUUGGCCGGGUGCAGUGGCUCACGCCUGUAACCCCAGCACUUUGGGAGGCGGAGAUGGGCGGAUCACGAGGUCAAGAGAUCGAGAGCAUCCUGGCUAAAUGGUGAAACCCUGUCUCUACUAAAAAUACAAAAAAAUUAGCCAGGCGUGGUGGUGGGCAUCUGUAGUCCCAGCUACUUGGGAGGCUGAGGCAGGAGAAUGGCGUGAACCCGGGAGGCGGAGCUUGCAGUGAGCCGAGAUCGCGUCCAGACCUGGGUGACAGAGCGAG